RNAcentral lists this ribosomal RNA (424 nucleotides) under uncultured bacterium. RNAcentral's name for it is "partial 16S ribosomal RNA". It matches the Rfam family "Bacterial small subunit ribosomal RNA", at positions 354 to 796 of the family's 1533-position model. The record is from RNAcentral.
GUGGGGAAUCUUGUGCAAUGGGCGAAAGCCUGACGCAGCCAUGCCGCGUGAAUGAUGAAGGUCUUAGGAUUGUAAAAUUCUUUCACCGGGGACGAUAAUGACGGUACCCGGAGAAGAAGCUCCGGCUAACUUCGUGCCAGCAGCCGCGGUAAUACGAAGGGGGCUAGCGUUGCUCGGAAUUACUGGGCGUAAAGGGCGCGUAGGCGGACAGCUUAGUCAGAGGUGAAAGCCCAGGGCUCAACCUUGGAAUUGCCUUUGAUACUGGCUGUCUUGAGUUUGGGAGAGGUGAGUGGAACUCCGAGUGUAGAGGUGAAAUUCGUAGAUAUUCGGAAGAACACCAGUGGCGAAGGCGACUCACUGGCCCAAUACUGACGCUGAGGCGCGAAAGCGUGGGGAGCAAACAGGAUUAGAUACCCCUGUGUCC